Molecule: RNA transcript, 3298 nt
Organism: Brassica napus (rape)
Lineage: Eukaryota; Viridiplantae; Streptophyta; Magnoliopsida; Brassicales; Brassicaceae
Gene name: protein DETOXIFICATION 28
Exons: 4
Source: RefSeq, a predicted model, not a curated record
AUACCACAUCGGAAAUAUGAAAGGGACUUGAGUAAUAUAUAAGAGACUUGGACCAAUCCACUAAUUGCCAAUUGGUUUUAAUUUGUAAGGCCAGGAAACUUGUCAUGGUAUCAGAGCCGACCCAACACCCUGACCCAUUAAUCCAUCCCGGGCAGUGGCCCGAUCAUCCCAUUAGCUGAUAGCCCAUAGAAGGCUCAGUUCCACCGAAAUCGCUAGAAAAAUAAAGCAUGAUCUCGGAGGGGUAUGAUGGAUUCUGCGAGAUUAAUGGUUAUACGCACCAUUAUCUCGAAAGAGGGUAUUGGAGAGAAGAUCCCACAUCGGAAAUAUGAAAGGGACUUGAGUAAUAUAUAAAGGACUUGGACCAAUCCACUAAUUGUCAAUUGGUUUUAAAUUGGAAGCCAGGAAAUAUUAGUUGGAGUAUUGAAGUCUCGUAUGGUUGAGGCUUGAAGUUUGGAGUUAAUGAUCAAGCUGGGUUUACAUGUUUUCACUUCCUUUUCAUUUUGUGGUUGAAAAUUGAUCCGUAUGGUUCUGUUGGAACACGCUUUUGCCUUUAUAUAUAACCAAGCAAUCUUGGGCCUAAGUAAUAAUAGUUUUAUUCAUUGUCAACCUUUAGUCCUAGCUACUAAUAGUUUCAUUCAUUGUCACGUUAAUGGCAUAUAAAACAAGAGAAACUGAAUUGCCAAAGAUAUGUAAUAUAUAUGGAAUGAAAAGGGAAUAGAUGAACGUUUAAAAGAUAUAUUUGAAUUACUCUAUCUAUCUUCUAUCGUGUACACUUUAUUAUAUUCUACUUUAAUUUCCAGAAGAUCUACCAUGGCAGACAUAGAGAUGGCUCCUCUGUUAAGAGAUCAAAAUGCGGUGGAGGAAGGCGGAGAUAUAUGGAUAGAGACGAAGAAGCUAUGGAGUAUUGUUGGACCGGCAAUAUUCACAAGAGUCAAGAUAUAUUUAUUCUUUCUCAUCACUCAGUCGUUCGCGGGCCAUCUUGGCGAGCUCGAACUCGCUGCCAUCUCCAUCGUCAUCAACAUCAUCAUCGGCUUCACCUACGGCCUUCUGCCCCGAUUCUUCAGUUUCUUGGCCAGCCAGAAGACAUCGCCCAGCUCUCUGGUACCGCCACUGUUUUGACCAUUCCUCUCCACUUUGCAUUUGUCUUCGUGUGCCCUAUCAACCGAUUUCUCCAAUGCCAGCUCAAGAAUGAAGUGCUAGCAAUAACGGCUGGAGCGACACUUGUAGUUCACAUAUUUGUGUCCUGGCUUUUUGUGUACGGUCUUAAGCUUGGAUUCAUAUGGACCAUGAUUACUUUUACUUUGUCAUGGUGGCUCAAUGCCAUCAUCUUGUUUGUUUACAUCGUAUGGGGAGGUUGUCCGCUCACUUGGACCGGUUUCUCCAUGGAAGCUUUCAUGGGACUAUGGGAAUACGCUAAGCUCUCUGCCUCCUCCGGAAUCAUGCUGUGGUACUAGAUAUUGGUUUAGACGCCAUUUGUAUCGCAUUUUUUCUUAUGCUAUACAUAUCGAAAGCAACUUACGGUAGAUUUUUAUCGAGAGACAGCUUGGAGUUUUGGUAUUAUAGGAUUUUAAUUCUGAUGACUGGAAAUUUGGAGGAUGCAAAAACUGCUGUUGACUCUUUGUCUAUAUGCAUGUCGAUAAAUGGUUUGGAGAUGAUGAUUCCACUUGCUUUCUUCGCCGGGGCCGGGUAACUAAUCAAUCAUAUUUUAUAUAUAUGUGUGUGUGUGUGUGUUUGAUUUAGUAAUUUGGUUUAUAUUACCAUGCAUGAUUCCAUCUAGCUACAAAAACUUUUCAUUUAAUACAGUAGACAAGGAGAGAUGUGCAAACAAAAGAAUAAUAUUUUUGUAACGUGGAAUUAUGCUAACGGUUUGGUCUAGCCAUGAUGGAAACCAUUAGUUUGAAUAAAGUAAAUUAAAAGGAUUCCGCCACUGUUUGAUAGAGCCACAGAAACAUCACGAUGUAAGCGGAAAUGAAGUUUACGGCAUUUUCCUUUGUUCAUGCAUAUCAUCAUGCAUCAGCAAUCUUUCUUCAAAUAUCCUCGUGGAAUUUGUGUGUGGCCAAAUAACUGUGUUGCCUACUAGUAGUCUUUUAUGGUUGGUAUACCUUGAUAAAGACCGGUUAGAUCUAAGAGCAUGUUUAAUGGGAGAUUCUUAGGAUGUGAUUCUUAGCGGAAUAUAAAAACUCGUCUCUUAAAUUUUUUCAUAAUUAUGGAUGGUUACGCGCCGGAUUUCGAUGAUAAUUUAUGUUUCAGUGAAAUUUAAAUUAAUUUUAUGGUCUUGAAAAAUAAAGUAUCCGUCAAAGAUAUAAAGAUGUAUUAAUUUUUUUUUAAUUUUUUUUCACUCCUGCAUCAUUGCUCCUAAAAUUAUUUUAAAAGAAAAAGAAAUUCCAAUAUAUGGAUAAAAAUAUAUUAGCAUUUUACAUCAGAGUAUUUUGUAACAUUUUGUAUUAUAUUUGUUGAUUUUGAAAUAAUUUGUAAUAAUUAGAUCUAAUGUUUUUACAUUUUACAAAGAGAAAUAUGUAUACUUGUAAUAAUUAGAUAUAGUUCUUCAACAUUUUAGAAAGAGAGAUAUGUAUACUGUUUAGAUACACUUCAUUUAAUUUUCGAGGAUCCAUUCAAAAGUUAAAUGUGGAUUACUUUUGUUACAAUGAAACUAUAGUGUGGUAAAGACCAAGCAAAUAUUAUUAUAUGUAAUCACAUUUUUCCGGCCGAACUGCGAUUCAUUAAACUAAAAGCAAGUUUACCCGACACAAAGAAAGGGCAAGCUUAGAGAUAAGAGCGUUGAAUUUGCCACUGCAUCAGCCUCUGCAUUCAAUAAUCUAUGAAUAUUAUAGAAAGAUUUAAGAUUUAAAGAAGCUGCUGAAUUGUUAUAUCAAAUAAAAUGUCGUUAAUCUCCUUGGUGAAUCCUUAUCGUGCAGCAUUCUAACUAACACUUGCGAAUUAGACAAUAUUUUAAUAUCAAGACACAAAAAUGAAGAAUACUUUUGUUUUUCAUUAGGAAGAAUAUAAUACCUAUAAAACAUACACAAAUGAUAUAAUAUUCUCUUAUUUCAGCCGCUUUUGAUUUAAUUUCAAUUGCCAUUUGUUUUAGAUUCAAAGGAUUGGUUAUAUGUUUUCGUGAAUCUUUAUUACGUGUGAGUUUUCCUUAUAUACCGGAUUAUGAUAUUUAGAGCUGAAUUAUGAUUGACUAAAUCAUAUAAUAUAGGAGAAUUUGCCAAAACUAACCCACAACUUGAUUUUAACCUCAAACUUAUACUCAAACUUGAAUCAAAUGCAAAACUAACAUAAAAUCCUUGUGAAA